AAUUGUGUGCUUUGGAAUGUGUGCUCUUGAAUCAAACUUCCUAAGCUCUUAUUCCAGGUUGCCACUUUUAGCAUUAUUAACUCAGACAAGUUUUAAAAAUUUUUAUGAACCUCAUUUCUUCAUCUAUAAGGUGGGAUGAUAAUGUUCUCCAUUAGAGUCAUGGGGUUUAAAUAAGAUGAUAUAUGUAGAGUAGUUUUAAGGAUGCUCAAUAAAUAAUAGCCAGCUCCAGUAUUAUUACUAUUUUAUUCUUAGGGACCAACCUACAUGCAUAUUUCACAUUAAAGAGAUUGUUGAUAAAAAUAAAUGCAGUAUUGGAGAUUAUCUUGGCAAUUUCAAUCAUUUCUGUGUUAUUGGAAAACAGGGGUUAUAAUGAAUAGAUUAAUAAAAAUAAAACUACACCAAGGAAAAAUGAUAUUAAAUGAGUUAUAACAUACUAAAUCACCCUGAUCAGAAUCAAAUUCUUACUGUAAUAAGCCAGUAGAGUCCAUAUAUUAGACAUUUAAAAAUGUGAUAUGCUUUUUUCCUAUUAUAAAUCCAGUUAGGUUAAGUGAAUUUCUAGGCUUUUAGUGGAAUUUCCAUCCUCUUUUUUUGACUGAUAAUUCCAGAGGACCAAGGAUUUCUCAAAGAGUGAAUCUAGCUUCCAUGUUUCAAGUCUCAGAAAGAAGUGCUAAUGUGGCUAAAAGUUGUAUCAAAUAUUUGCUGUUUCAUACAUAAAAAUAAUUUUAUAUUAAUUGGCUAAUUGUCUUCAGACCAAUAUUUUAUUAUAUUCUUAAUCUGGUGCUAUUUAUUCUGGAGAAUAAAUAGUAUAGCCAAAUUGCUAAUACCUUUACUAAUUGGGUAAAUUCUAGAAAUGUUAAGGAUAGUACAACAUAGAGCUAAAUAAAUAUUUACAGAAUGACUGUUGAAGACAUUUGGUUCUUAACAGUUGCCAUUGUAUAACAUGCAUGUUCUUACUGUUGCCGUGACCUUAUUAUGUUAGCUGUGUAUUGUGAUACAGCAUGUUACAUGUACCAUUGGGUGAUGUAACCACUGACCUGGUGUCAGGACAGAUUUUGUUGUAGGGACCCAGAUUAUUAAUGCCCACAUCACUGAUUUUUAUUACUCAGUGGUAUUUCUUACAUGCUACACGGCAGUGUCAAGGGUGAGAACCACUAGUUUCUCUAAGACAACCUUACAGAACACUAGAAAGACCAAGAUCUAUGUAAAGUCAGCUUGCAGGGCUGGUGUCAUAACAUUCUGAGACCUGGGGGAAUGAUACAUUGUUAUCUUUUGUUUUACAUGGGCUUCCCCUCACCCCCCCCCCCCCCCAUUUCCUAAUACAAGUAAAGCCAAUAGAGUUAGUUUGGGAUUGCAAAGGAAAUUAUCUCUUCUGUAUUACAAGAGGUCUCAAAAUAAGCUCUGUUUUAUUCUAAAAGGAUAAGGUAUUGCCCUUUCCACAUUACAUUUUCACUAUAAAAUCUUUAUGUUAAUAGUGGUUUUCUUAUUUUAUAUGUCACAGUGCAAAAAACAUGCCAUUGCUUUAAUAAAACUGUGUUCCUUCUUCUCCUCCUCCUCCUCCUUCUUCUUCAGUUUUUUUUUUUCUCUCUUUUUUUUUUUCUUCUUCAGUUUUUGACUUAUAGUAAAGAGAGUCACAUUCGGCUGUCACCAUGGCUUUACCCGCACCAUUCAUUCCUGGGGAAAUCGCUUGGCUGUCUUGGCCUGUGUAGUGACAGGUUAGUCCUUGGUGGGCUUAAAGUGCAAUGGAUAAAAGCCAUUCUCAUCUCCUGAAAUCCUCUUACAAACUAUCCUCCAAGAUGUGUUACACUAAGGAAAAUGUCUUCCAUUCCUUCCUGCUGAUUAUAAGUAGUGAUAUACUAGGAUGAUAACAGGGCUGGAUAUGAAAACAAAUGAGUAUCUGAAAAAUCAUUCCAUUGCAACCAAAUGCAUUUGAAAUGAUUCUUUUUAUUUUUUUUUAAAUUCCAAGAAUAUAAAACAUAAACUCUUACAUUGAAAUUUUGUUCUUGCUGAUUUUUUUAACCCUUUUGGAGACUUAACAAAAAGUUCAGUGGUAGUCAACCUCGAUCCUUUCUUAUAUUUUGACUGCUACUGACUUUUUAUGUCUAUAGACCUUUUGCAUAUAAUUUAAUAUUGUUGAUAUAUCCCAAUUAAUUAAGCUAUACCCUUCCUACAAAAAGAAAAAGCUCAUUUGUUUGAACUGCAGUAAUUCUGAAUGUAAUGAUUUAGAUGUGCCUAUUACAAUGGCAUAGUUAAAAAAAUAAGUACUGCUGAACAAAUUCAGAAUGUAUACAGGAUAACAGACUGUACAUUUAAGCUUCUUACAUAACAAACUUUUUCAAGCGAUUCAGCAUUGAGUAUUCUUCUCUACUCAUUAAAGACUAAUUCUCUGUAGGUUUUGUGGCUUUAAAGACUAAUUCUCUGUGGGUUUUGUGGCUUACUUUGUGUUACUAGUUGUAUAUGAAAUUAGUAGAGCUGUAUAUUUUUCAGUAGACAUCAACCUUUCAUUAAUUUAGAAUGUCUGUUCCUUUAAUUAAUCCAAAUUAGAGAUUAUGUUUCUCCCCAAACAAAAUACAUCCUUACAUCAAUUAAAUGAGAGUUUUUGAUGAAAUGUUCCCUAACAGAGUAAGUAAUUGAGAUAUAAUUGUUUGUAG
This 2648-nucleotide long non-coding RNA is filed under the name Canis lupus familiaris (dog). RNAcentral describes it as "lncRNA (ENSCAFG00000058333.1)". The record is from RNAcentral. Lineage: Eukaryota; Metazoa; Chordata; Mammalia; Carnivora; Canidae.